CAGAGCGAGGCAAAGCCGCGAGGCGGAGCGAAUCGCUAAAAGCCGUCCCAGUUCGGAUUGCAGGCUGCAACCCGCCUGCAUGAAGUUGGAAUCGCUAGUAAUCGCGGAUCAGCAUGCCGCGGUGAAUACGUUCCCGGGCCUUGUACACACCGCCCGUCACACCAUGAGAGUCGGGAACACCCGAAGUCCGUAGCCUGACCGCAAGGGGGGCGCGGCCGAAGGUGGGUUCGAUAAUUGGGGUGAAGUCGUAACAAGGUAAC
RNAcentral lists this ribosomal RNA (260 nucleotides) under uncultured bacterium. Its description in RNAcentral is "partial 16S ribosomal RNA". It matches the Rfam family "Bacterial small subunit ribosomal RNA", at positions 1240 to 1500 of the family's 1533-position model. The record is from RNAcentral.